GACGAACGCUGGCGGCGUGCUUAACACAUGCAAGUCACGGGGGCCCGCAAGGGUAACCGGCGAACGGGUGCGUAACACGUGAACAAUCUGCCUAGAUGUGGGGGAUAGCCGGCCCAACGGCCGGGUAAUACCGCAUACGCUCUUCGGGUGGCAUCACUUGAAGAGGAAACCUCCGGGGCAUCUAGAGGAGUUCGCGGCCUAUCAGCUAGUUGGUGGGGUAACGGCCUACCAAGGCAAUGACGGGUAGCUGGUCUGAGAGGAUGGCCAGCCACAUUGGGACUGAGAUACGGCCCAGACUCCUACGGGGGGCAGCAAUGGGGAAUAUUGCGCAAUGGCCGAAAGGGUGACGCAGCGACGCCGGGUGGGGGAUGAAGCAUUUCGGUGUGUAAACCCCUGUUGCUCGGGACGAACAAGCGAUUUCGAUCGCUCUGACGGUACCGGGUGAGGAAGCACCGGCUAACUCCGUGCCAGCAGCCGCAGUAA
Molecule: ribosomal RNA, 483 nt
Filed under: uncultured bacterium
Lineage: Bacteria
Description: partial 16S ribosomal RNA
Rfam family: Bacterial small subunit ribosomal RNA
Source: RNAcentral